GUGGGGAAUCUUGCGCAAUGGGCGAAAGCCUGACGCAGCCAUGCCGCGUGGAUGAUGAAGGUCUUAGGAUUGUAAAAUCCUUUCACCGGUGAAGAUAAUGACUGUAGCCGGAGAAGAAGCCCCGGCUAACUUCGUGCCAGCAGCCGCGGUAAUACGAAGGGGGCUAGCGUUGCUCGGAAUUACUGGGCGUAAAGGGAGCGUAGGCGGACAUUUAAGUCAGGGGUGAAAUCCCGAGGCUCAACCUCGGAACUGCCUUUGAUACUGGGUGUCUUGAGUGUGAGAGAGGUGAGUGGAACUCCGAGUGUAGAGGUGAAAUUCGUAGAUAUUCGGAAGAACACCAGUGGCGAAGGCGACUCACUGGCUCAUUACUGACGCUGAGGCUCGAAAGCGUGGGGAGCAAACAGGAUUAGAUACCCGGGUAGUCC
RNAcentral lists this ribosomal RNA (425 nucleotides) under uncultured bacterium. RNAcentral's name for it is "partial 16S ribosomal RNA". It matches the Rfam family "Bacterial small subunit ribosomal RNA", at positions 354 to 796 of the family's 1533-position model. The record is from RNAcentral.